This 325-nucleotide ribosomal RNA is filed under the name uncultured eukaryote. RNAcentral's name for it is "partial 18S ribosomal RNA". It matches the Rfam family "Eukaryotic small subunit ribosomal RNA", at positions 1470 to 1796 of the family's 1831-position model. The record is from RNAcentral.
CCCUUAGAUGUUCUGGGCCGCACGCGUGCUACACUGAUGCAUUCAACGAGUCCAACCUUGACCGAGAGGUCCGGGUAAUCUUUGAAACUGCAUCGUGAUGGGGCUAGAUUAUUGCAAUUAUUAAUCUUCAACGAGGAAUGCCUAGUAAGCGUGAUUCAUCAAAUCGCGUUGAUUACGUCCCUGCCCUUUGUACACACCGCCCGUCGCACCUACCGAUUGAAUGGUCCGGUGAAAUCUUGGGAUUUUGUUUUGUUUGCAUUUAUUUGUAUCGAGACGAGAGAACUUGAGUAAACCUUACCAUUUAGAGGAAGGUGAAGUCGUAACA